This 445-nucleotide ribosomal RNA is filed under the name uncultured bacterium. Its description in RNAcentral is "bacterial SSU rRNA". It matches the Rfam family "Bacterial small subunit ribosomal RNA", at positions 30 to 507 of the family's 1533-position model. The record is from RNAcentral.
AUUGAACGCUGGCGGCAUGCCUAUCACAUGCAAGUCGAACGUGAAGCCAGAGCUUGCUCUGGUGGAAAGUGGCAGACGGGUGAGUAACGCGUGGGAACCUACCUAGUGGUACGGAACAACCGUUGGAAACGACGGCUAAUACCGUAUACGCCCUCCGGGGGAAAGAUUUAUCGCCAUUAGACGGGCCCGCGUUGGAUUAGCUUGUUGGUGAGGUAACGGCUCACCAAGGCGACGAUCCAUAGCUGGUCUGAGAGGAUGAUCAGCCACACUGGGACUUAGACACGGCCCAGACUCCUACGGGAGGCAGCAGUGGGGAAUAUUGCACAAUGGGCGCAAGCCUGAUGCAGCCAUGCCGCGUGAGUGAAGAAGGCCCUAGGGUUGUAAAGCUCUUUCGUCGGUGAAGAUAAUGACGGUAACCGAAGAAGAAGCCCCGGCUAACUCCGUG